CUUGCUCUCUCCAUCUGCUGCUGAAUUAUGAAGGCAGGACUAGCAGCUGCCACUAAAAAAGGGAAGACAUUUGGAGUCAGAGUGACCAAUUUGGAAAGGACAAAGGAAUGAACACUGAAUUUUAGGAGGAACUCAGAAGAGCAGAGGUAAAAGGCCACAGUGAACAGAAAGUAAAACAGGGGAAAGCUAAGGAUUCAGGUGCUGCAGG
RNAcentral lists this long non-coding RNA (208 nucleotides) under Anas platyrhynchos platyrhynchos (common mallard). RNAcentral describes it as "lncRNA (ENSAPLG00000021592.1)". Lineage: Eukaryota; Metazoa; Chordata; Aves; Anseriformes; Anatidae. The record is from RNAcentral.